UAAAUUAAUUUUUAUUAUUUUUAUAUAUUAAUAUUUUUUAAUAAAAUUAUUUUUUGUUUUAUUAUUUAUAUAGAAAAAAGUUAUUUAAUUAUAGUUUAUUGGUUUUGUGAAUUUAAUAAUUUUUUAUUUAAAAGUAAAAUUGAUUUUUUAUACCUUGGGUAUCAGGGUUAAUUAAAUUUAUAAAUUUAGAUUUUUUUCCCGAAUUUAAAAGAGCUAUAUUUUUAUUAUUUUAUUGUUGAAUAAAUAUUUAAAAUAAAAAUAUUGUAAUGAAACGUUAUUCGUUUUUAAAUAUAUCUGGUUUUCUAAGAAAUAAAUUUAAUUUAUUUGUCUAAAAAUAUUUAAUUAAUUAUUAAUUAAUUAUUUUUGAUAUUUAAUUUUUUGAAGGAUAAGCUUUAAAUAAAAUUUUUAUUAUUUAUUUAUAUUUUUCUUUUAUUUAGAAAUAAAAUUAUUUAUUUUUAUUGUAUUUUAUAAUUAAGAAGAAUGUUAUUUUUAUUUUAUUUUAUUAUAAUUUUUUUAUUAGAAUUAAUGUUUUAAUUUUAAUAAUUUUGUAAUAAUGAUUAAAUUAGUAGAAUUACAUUUAUAUUUAAAAUAAUUAUUUAGUUUAUUAAAAGGAAUUAGGCAAUAAUUUUUUCACCUGUUUAUUAAAAACAUGGCUUUUUGUUUAAAAUUUAAAGUCAGUCCUGCCCAGUGAUAUUUGAUUUAACGGCCGCAGUAAUUUGACUGUGCUAAGGUAGCAUAAUCAUUAGUUUUUUAAUUGAAAACUGGAAUGAAGGGUUUAAUGAAAAAAAUACUGUCUCUUAAUAAAUUAUUUGAAUUUAACUUUUGAGUUAAAAGGCUUAAAUUUAAUUAAAAGACGAGAAGACCCUUUAGAGUUUAAUAUUUUUUUUAUUUUUAUUGUUUUUAGUAUUAAUUUUAAAAAGUAAAAAAUUAUUUGAUUGGGGUGAUUAUUAAAUACGAAUAACUUUAAUUUAAUUAUACAUAAAUUAAUGAAUAUUUGAUCCAUAAAAUUGAUUAAUAGAUAAAAUUACCUAAGGGAUAACAGCGUAAUUUUUUUGAAGAGUUCUUAUCGAUAAAAAAGAUUGCGACCUCGAUGUUGGAUUAAAAUUAACAAUUUGGUGUAGAAGCUAAUUAGUUUGGUCUGUUCGACCAUUAAAAUUUUACAUGAUCUGAGUUUAAACCGGCGUGAGCCAGGUUGGUUUCUAUCUUUAAUAAAAAUUAAUAAUUUAGUACGAAAGGACCAAUUUUUUUUUAUAAUAAAUAUGAGAUUGAAUAAUUUUA
Molecule: ribosomal RNA, 1278 nt
Filed under: Colasposoma dauricum
Lineage: Eukaryota; Metazoa; Arthropoda; Insecta; Coleoptera; Chrysomelidae
Description: 16S ribosomal RNA
Rfam family: Archaeal large subunit ribosomal RNA (bases 1035-1194)
Source: RNAcentral